GAUCUUUGCAUAUCUGUCUGAAAAUCUGUAAUGUUGAAGGCCAUUGCUUGGGCUGAAGGUGAUUGGAAGAAGUCAGUCUGUGCAAAAUUCUGCUUGCAAAGAGAUCAUCCUUCCUACUUAACUUGUAGGAGAUCAUUUAGAAGGUUUGCUGGACUUGGCCGCAUGGAUCCUUCAGCUCCCAAGUACUUUCAGAGAGUGAAGUUGGGAGGGGAAGGAAGAAGCACAGACCUGGAAACUCAUUUCAGUUCAGGGUGCGACCUGCUGCCUUUGGUUCCUUCUGGACCUCGGGGGAGACCACCACGGUCCCCCGCGGCACAGAGGCAGGAGACCGCUGCCAGGAACCCCGGCGCAAGCACUGCACACACUCGGAGACGAGAACCCGGCGUUAGCGGUUCCUGAAGCUGUCUCCGAGGAUGGGUCGGGAUCCCGCCACCGGCUUCCCUCACCGCAGGCGCAGGGAGUUCCCGCGCACGGCGCACCUUUGCGGUCGGGUUUCCCGGCUGCCUUCCGGGAACCCCGCCGAGCCCCUUGCUGCUCGGG
RNAcentral lists this long non-coding RNA (540 nucleotides) under Felis catus (domestic cat). RNAcentral's name for it is "lncRNA (ENSFCAG00000053842.1)". The record is from RNAcentral. Lineage: Eukaryota; Metazoa; Chordata; Mammalia; Carnivora; Felidae.